Molecule: transfer RNA, 71 nt
Filed under: bacterium
Lineage: Bacteria
Description: tRNA-Trp
Rfam family: tRNA
About the family: Transfer RNA (tRNA) molecules are approximately 80 nucleotides in length. Their secondary structure includes four short double-helical elements and three loops (D, anti-codon, and T loops).
Source: RNAcentral
AGGGGUGAGAUCCAUUGGGGACAACUGGCCUCCAAAGCCAGCAGCAGCGGGUUCGAUUCCUGUCACCCCUG